RNAcentral lists this ribosomal RNA (443 nucleotides) under uncultured bacterium. RNAcentral describes it as "partial 16S ribosomal RNA". It matches the Rfam family "Bacterial small subunit ribosomal RNA", at positions 338 to 795 of the family's 1533-position model. The record is from RNAcentral.
CCUACGGGUGGCUGCAGUGGGGAAUAUUGGACAAUGGGGGGAACCCUGAUCCAGCGACGCCGCGUGAGUGAAGAAGUAUUUCGGUAUGUAAAGCUCUAUCAGCAGGGAAGAAAGAAAUGACGGUACCUGACUAAGAAGCCCCGGCUAACUACGUGCCAGCAGCCGCGGUAAUACGUAGGGGGCAAGCGUUAUCCGGAUUUACUGGGGGUAAAGGGAGCGUAGACGGCGAUGCAAGUCUGAAGUGAAAGGCGGGGGCCCAACCCCUGGACUGCUUUGGAAACUGUAUGGCUGGAGUGCAGGAGAGGGAAGUGGAAUUCCUAGUGUAGCGGUGAAAUGCGUAGAUAUUAGGAGGAACAUCAGUGGCGAAGGCGGCCACCUGGACCGGUAUUGACGCUGAGGCGCGAAAGCGUGGGGAGCAAACAGGAUUAGAUACCCCAGUAGUC